ACGCUAGCUACAGGCUUAACACAUGCAAGUCGAGGGGCAGCAUGGAAGAAGCUUGCUUCUUCUGAUGGCGACCGGCGCACGGGUGCGUAACGCGUAUCAAACCUGCCUCAUACUCGGGGAUAGCCUUGCGAAAGUAAGAUUAAUACCCGAUGUUGUUAUGUUACCGCAUGGUGAUAUAACCAAAGAUUUAUCGGUAUGAGAUGGUGAUGCGUCCGAUUAGGUAGUAGGCGGGGUAACGGCCCACCUAGCCUUCGAUCGGUAGGGGUUCUGAGAGGAAGGUCCCCCACACUGGAACUGAGACACGGUCCAGACUCCUACGGGAGGCAGCAGUGAGGAAUAUUGGUCAAUGGACGAAAGUCUGAACCAGCCAAGUAGCGAGCAGGAUGACGGCCCUCCGGGUUGUAAACUGCUUUUAGUUGGGAAUAAAAAGAGGGACGUGUCCCUCAUUGUAUGUACCUUCAGAAAAAGGACCGGCUAAUUCCGUGCCAGCAGCCGCGGUAAUACGGAAGGUCCAGGCGCUAUCCGGAUUUAUUGGGUUUAAAGGGAGCGUAGGCGGAUUAUUAGGUCAGUGGUGAAAGACGGUGGCUCAACCAUCGUUAGCCAUUGAAACUGGUAGUCUUGAGUGCAGACAGGGAUGCUGGAACUCGUGGUGUAGCGGUGAAAUGCUUAGAUAUCACGAUGAACUCCGAUCGCGAAGGCAGGUGUCCGGGCUGCAACUGACGCUGAGGCUCGAAAGUGUGGGUAUCAAACAGGAUUAGAUACCCUGGUAGUCCACACAGUAAACGAUGUAUACUCGCGGUUUGCGAUACAGUGUAAGCCGCCAAGCGAAAGCAUUAAGUAUACCACCUGGGGAGUACGCCGGCAACGGUGAAACUCAAAGGAAUUGACGGGGGCCCGCACAAGCGGAGGAACAUGUGGUUU
This 921-nucleotide ribosomal RNA is filed under the name uncultured bacterium. RNAcentral's name for it is "bacterial SSU rRNA". It matches the Rfam family "Bacterial small subunit ribosomal RNA", at positions 33 to 947 of the family's 1533-position model. The record is from RNAcentral.